GCCCACAUAAUUUAAAAUAAAACCCUAGGCUGUGAUUCUAGUAAUGAAAGUUAAACCCUUUCUGUGUGCC
This 70-nucleotide transfer RNA is filed under the name Thorius n. sp. RLM-2004. Its description in RNAcentral is "tRNA-His". It matches the Rfam family "tRNA". Rfam says of the family: Transfer RNA (tRNA) molecules are approximately 80 nucleotides in length. Lineage: Eukaryota; Metazoa; Chordata; Amphibia; Caudata; Plethodontidae. The record is from RNAcentral.